This 995-nucleotide ribosomal RNA is filed under the name uncultured bacterium. RNAcentral describes it as "bacterial SSU rRNA". It matches the Rfam family "Bacterial small subunit ribosomal RNA", at positions 356 to 1376 of the family's 1533-position model. The record is from RNAcentral.
GGGGAAUAUUGUACAAUGGGGGAAACCCUGAUGCAGCGACGCCGCGUGGAGGAAGAAGGUCUUCGGAUUGUAAACUCCUGUUGUUGGGGAAGAUAAUGACGGUACCCAACAAGGAAGUGACGGCUAACUACGUGCCAGCAGCCGCGGUAAAACGUAGGUCACAAGCGUUGUCCGGAAUUACUGGGUGUAAAGGGAGCGCAGGCGGGAAGACAAGUUGGAAGUGAAAUCUAUGGGCUCAACCCAUAAACUGCUUUCAAAACUGUUUUUCUUGAGUAGUGCAGAGGUAGGCGGAAUUCCCGGUGUAGCGGUGGAAUGCGUAGAUAUCGGGAGGAACACCAGUGGCGAAGGCGGCCUACUGGGCACCAACUGACGCUGAGGCUCGAAAGUGUGGGUAGCAAACAGGAUUAGAUACCCUGGUAGUCCACACCGUAAACGAUGAUUACUAGGUGUUGGAGGAUUGACCCCUUCAGUGCCGCAGUUAACACAAUAAGUAAUCCACCUGGGGAGUACGACCGCAAGGUUGAAACUCAAAGGAAUUGACGGGGGCCCGCACAAGCAGUGGAGUAUGUGGUUUAAUUCGACGCAACGCGAAGAACCUUACCAAGUCUUGACAUCCCUUGACAGACAUAGAAAUAUGUUUUCUCUUCGGAGCAAGGAGACAGGUGGUGCAUGGUUGUCGUCAGCUCGUGUCGUGAGAUGUUGGGUUAAGUCCCGCAACGAGCGCAACCCUUAUGGUCAGUUACUACGCAAGAGGACUCUGGCCAGACUGCCGUUGACAAAACGGAGGAAGGUGGGGAUGACGUCAAAUCAUCAUGCCCUUUAUGACUUGGGCUACACACGUACUACAAUGGCGUUAAACAAAGAGAAGCAAGACCGCGAGGUGGAGCAAAACUCAGAAACAACGUCCCAGUUCGGACUGCAGGCUGCAACUCGCCUGCACGAAGUCGGAAUUGCUAGUAAUCGUGGAUCAGCAUGCCACGGUGAAUACGUUCCCG